UUCUAGUGAUUGGAAUGAUGGGAAUCCAAACCCCUUUCAGAGUAACAAUUGGAGGGCAAGUCUGGUGCCAGCAGCCGCGGUAAUUCCAGCUCCAAUAGCGUAUAUUAAAGUUGUUGCAGUUAAAAAGCUCGUAGUUGGAUAUCUGCUGGAAGCAGCCAGUCCGCCCUUUGUGGGUGUGCACUUGGUGAAUUCUGGCAUCCUCCUGAUUGGUGUUAUCAUCACUUCAUUGUGUUGAUGGCAGCUGUCAGGACCGUUACUUUGAGAAAAUUAGAGUGUUUCAAGCAGGCUUGUUGCCUUGAAUACUGCAGCAUGGAAUAACAAGAUAGGAUUUCGGUUCUAUUUUGUUGGUUUCUAGGACUGAAGUAAUGAUUAAUAGGGACAGUUGGGGGCAUUCGUAUUUAACUGUCAGAGGUGAAAUUCUUAGAUUUGUUAAAGACGAACUACUGCGAAAGCAUU
RNAcentral lists this ribosomal RNA (456 nucleotides) under Sarcocystis sp. Its description in RNAcentral is "SSU rRNA". It matches the Rfam family "Eukaryotic small subunit ribosomal RNA", at positions 500 to 955 of the family's 1831-position model. The record is from RNAcentral. Lineage: Eukaryota; Apicomplexa; Conoidasida; Eucoccidiorida; Sarcocystidae.